AGCAUAUCAAUAAGCGGAGGAAAAGAAACCAACAGGGAUUGCUCUAGUAACGGCGAGUGAAGCAGCAAUAGCUCAAAUUUGAAAUCUGGCGUCUUCGGCGUCCGAGUUGUAAUUUGUAGAGGAUGCUUCUGAGUAACCACCGACCUAAGUUCCUUGGAACAGGACGUCAUAGAGGGUGAGAAUCCCGUAUGCGGUCGGAAAGGUGCUCUACACGUAGCUCCUUCGACGAGUCGAGUUGUUUGGGAAUGCAGCUCUAAAUGGGAGGUAAAUUUCUUCUAAAGCUAAAUAUUGGCCAGAGACCGAUAGCGCACAAGUAGAGUGAUCGAAAGAUGAAAAGCACUUUGGAAAGAGAGUUAAAAAGCACGUGAAAUUGUUAAAAGGGAAGGGAUUGCAACCAGACUUGCUCGCGGUGUUCCGCCGGUCUUCUGACCGGUCUACUCGCCGCGUUGCAGGCCAGCAUCGUCUGGUGCCGCUGGAUAAGACUUGAGGAAUGUAGCUCCCUCGGGAGUGUUAUAGCCUCUUGUGAUGCAGCGAGCGCCGGGCGAGGUCCGCGCUUCGGCUAGGAUGCUGGCGUAAUGGUCGUAAUCCGCCCGUCUUGAAACACGGACCAAGGAGUCUAACAUCUAUGCGAGUGUUCGGGUGUCAAACCCCUACGCGUAAUGAAAGUGAACGGAGGUGAGAACCGCAAGGUGCAUCAUCGACCGAUCCUGAUGUCUUCGGAUGGAUUUGAGUAUGAGCAUAGCUGUUGGGACCCGAAAGAUGGUGAACUAUGCCUGAAUAGGGUGAAGCCAGAGGAAACUCUGGUGGAGGCUCGCAGCGGUUCUGACGUGCAAAUCGAUCGUCAAAUUUGGGUAUAGGGGCGAAAGACUAAUCGAACCAUCUAGUAGCUGGUUCCUGCGA
RNAcentral lists this ribosomal RNA (900 nucleotides) under Cladosporium perangustum. RNAcentral describes it as "LSU rRNA". It matches the Rfam family "Eukaryotic large subunit ribosomal RNA", at positions 37 to 963 of the family's 3401-position model. Lineage: Eukaryota; Fungi; Ascomycota; Dothideomycetes; Cladosporiales; Cladosporiaceae. The record is from RNAcentral.